GUGUCAGCAGCCGCGGUAAUACGAAGGGGGCUAGCGUUGCUCGGAAUCACUGGGCGUAAAGGGUGCGUAGGCGGGUUUUUAAGUCAGGGGUGAAAUCCUGGAGCUCAACUCCAGAACUGCCUUUGAUACUGAAGAUCUCGAGUCCGGGAGAGGUGAGUGGAACUGCGAGUGUAGAGGUGAAAUUCGUAGAUAUUCGCAAGAACACCAGUGGCGAAGGCGGCUCACUGGCCCGGUACUGACGCUGAGGUGCGAAAGCGUGGGGAGCGAACGGGAUUAGAUACCCCGGUAGUCCACGCCCUAAACGAUGCAGACUAGACUGCAGCGGGUUUCACCCCGUUGCGGUCGGAGCGAAAUUGUUAAGUCUGCCACCUGGGAAGUACGGUCGCAAGGCUAAAACUUAAAGGAAUUGACGG
This 413-nucleotide ribosomal RNA is filed under the name uncultured bacterium. RNAcentral describes it as "bacterial SSU rRNA". It matches the Rfam family "Bacterial small subunit ribosomal RNA", at positions 505 to 916 of the family's 1533-position model. The record is from RNAcentral.